UAAGCUUGCUUAUUUGGUGGCGAGUGGCGCACGGGUGCGUAACGCGUAUGCAAUCUACCCCUAACAAGAGGAUACCCCGGAGAAAUUCGGAAUAAUAUUCUAUAAUACAUUUGAUUCGCAUGUUUUGAAUGUUAAAGCUAAGGCGGUUAGGGAUGAGCAUGCGUGACAUUAGCUAGUUGGUGAGGUAACGGCUCACCAAGGCAACGAUGUCUAGGGGUUCUGAGAGGAUGAUCCCCCACACUGGUACUGAGACACGGACCAGACUCC
Molecule: ribosomal RNA, 267 nt
Filed under: unidentified marine bacterioplankton
Lineage: Bacteria
Also listed under: 1 other name
Description: partial 16S ribosomal RNA
Rfam family: Bacterial small subunit ribosomal RNA
Source: RNAcentral